RNAcentral lists this ribosomal RNA (620 nucleotides) under uncultured Promicromonospora sp. RNAcentral's name for it is "bacterial SSU rRNA". It matches the Rfam family "Bacterial small subunit ribosomal RNA", at positions 434 to 1065 of the family's 1533-position model. Lineage: Bacteria; Bacillati; Actinomycetota; Actinomycetes; Micrococcales; Promicromonosporaceae. The record is from RNAcentral.
UUUCAGCAGGGAAGAAGCGUGAGUGACGGUACCUGCAGAAGAAGCGCCGGCUAACUACGUGCCAGCAGCCGCGGUAAUACGUAGGGCGCAAGCGUUGUCCGGAAUUAUUGGGCGUAAAGAGCUCGUAGGCGGUCUGUCGCGUCUGGUGUGAAAUCCCAUGGCUCAACUGUGGGCUUGCAUCGGGUACGGGCAGACUAGAGUGCUGUAGGGGAGACUGGAAUUCCUGGUGUAGCGGUGGAAUGCGCAGAUAUCAGGAGGAACACCGAUGGCGAAGGCAGGUCUCUGGGCAGUUACUGACGCUGAGGAGCGAAAGCAUGGGGAGCGAACAGGAUUAGAUACCCUGGUAGUCCAUGCCGUAAACGUUGGGCACUAGGUGUGGGGCCAGUUCCACUGGUUCUGUGCCGCAGCUAACGCAUUAAGUGCCCCGCCUGGGGAGUACGGCCGCAAGGCUAAAACUCAAAGGAAUUGACGGGGGCCCGCACAAGCGGCGGAGCAUGCGGAUUAAUUCGAUGCAACGCGAAGAACCUUACCAAGGCUUGACAUGUACGGGAACGCCCCAGAGAUGGGGUUCUCUUUGGACACUCGUACACAGGUGGUGCAUGGUUGUCGUCAGCUCGUGU